CCUACGGGCGGCAGCAGUGGGGAAUAUUGGACAAUGGGGGGAACCCUGAUCCAGCCAUGCCGCGUGUGUGAAGAAGGCCCUCGGGUUGUAAAGCACUUUCAGUGAGGAAGAACGCCUGGUGGUUAAUACCCAUCAGGAAAGACAUCACUCACAGAAGAAGCACCGGCUAACUCCGUGCCAGCAGCCGCGGUAAUACGGAGGGUGCGAGCGUUAAUCGGAAUUACUGGGCGUAAAGCGCGCGUAGGUGGCUUGAUAAGCCGGUUGUGAAAGCCCCGGGCUCAACCUGGGAACGGCAUCCGGAACUGUCAAGCUAGAGUGCAGGAGAGGAAGGUAGAAUUCCCGGUGUAGCGGUGAAAUGCGUAGAGAUCGGGAGGAAUACCAGUGGCGAAGGCGGCCUUCUGGACUGACACUGACACUGAGGUGCGAAAGCGUGGGUAGCAAACAGGAUUUAGAUACCCCUGUAGUC
This 466-nucleotide ribosomal RNA is filed under the name Vreelandella stevensii. Its description in RNAcentral is "partial 16S ribosomal RNA". It matches the Rfam family "Bacterial small subunit ribosomal RNA", at positions 338 to 795 of the family's 1533-position model. The record is from RNAcentral. Lineage: Bacteria; Pseudomonadati; Pseudomonadota; Gammaproteobacteria; Oceanospirillales; Halomonadaceae.